UAAACUAGGAUUAGAUACCCUAUUAUUUUAAAUGUGAAUAGUAAUGCUAAAUUAGUAUUAGUUAAGAUCUUGAAAAUUAAAAAAUUUGGCGGUAUUUUAGUCUUUUCAGAGGAACCUGUCCUGUAAUUGAUAAUCCACGAUUUAGGGAACUUUAUUUAUUAGUUUACAUAUCGUCGUAUAUAGAAUAUUUUAAAAGAAUAAUAAUAUUCAUAAGUUUUUAUUAAAAAGUAAAUCAGAUCAAGGUGUAGUUUAUAAUAAAGGAGAGAUGGGUUACAUUAAAUUUAUUUAAAGAUUAUUUUUAGGAUAAAAAUAUGAAUAUGGAUUUGAAAGUAAUUUUAAUUAAUUAGUUAAAAUGAUUUUAGCUCUAAAAUAUGUACACAUCGCCCGUCGCUCUUAA
This 397-nucleotide ribosomal RNA is filed under the name Spermophagus voarum. RNAcentral describes it as "partial 12S ribosomal RNA". The record is from RNAcentral. Lineage: Eukaryota; Metazoa; Arthropoda; Insecta; Coleoptera; Chrysomelidae.